RNAcentral lists this long non-coding RNA (433 nucleotides) under Canis lupus familiaris (dog). RNAcentral describes it as "lncRNA (ENSCAFG00030012650.1)". Lineage: Eukaryota; Metazoa; Chordata; Mammalia; Carnivora; Canidae. The record is from RNAcentral.
GGGUGGGGACAUGGAAGGCCAUGCCAGUGAGCUUCCCGUUCAGCUCAGGGAUGACCUUGCCCACAGCCUUGGCAGCGCCAGUGGAAGCAGGGAUGUUGGCGGGAUCUCGCUCCUGGAAGAUGGAGAUGGACUUCCCGUUGAUGACAAGUUUCCCGUUCUCAGCCUUGACUGUGCCGUGGAAUUUGCCGUGGGCAGAAUCAUACUGGAGCAUGUACACCAUGUAGUUGAGAUCAAUGAAGGGGUCAUUGAUGGCGACAAUAUCCACUUUGCCAGAGUUAAAAGCAGCCCUGGUGACCGACCAGGCGCCCAAUACGGCCAAAUCUGUUCACUCCGACCUUCACCAUCGUGUCUCGGGGACGCGGCUGGCCCUGCACCAGAAGAUGCGGCUGUCUGUCGAACGGGGAGGAGCAGAGAGCCAGAUAACUUAUUUUAA